RNAcentral lists this ribosomal RNA (887 nucleotides) under uncultured bacterium. RNAcentral's name for it is "bacterial SSU rRNA". It matches the Rfam family "Bacterial small subunit ribosomal RNA", at positions 505 to 1397 of the family's 1533-position model. The record is from RNAcentral.
GUGCCAGCCGCCGCGGUAAUACGGAGGAUGCGAGCGUUAUCCGGAUUUAUUGGGUUUAAAGGGUGCGUAGGUGGUUUGUUAAGUUUGUGGUGAAAGCGUGCGGCUCAACCGUACCAAGCCAUGAAAACUGGCGAACUUGAGUGCAAACGAGGUAGGCGGAAUGUGAUGUGUAGCGGUGAAAUGCUUAGAUAUGUCACAGAACCCCGAUUGCGAAGGCAGCUUACCAGCAUGCAACUGACACUGAGGCACGAAAGCGUGGGUAUCAAACAGGAUUAGAUACCCUGGUAGUCCACGCAGUAAACGAUGAAUACUAGCUGUUGGCGAUAUAUGGUCAGCGGUACAGCGAAAGUGUUAAGUAUUCCACCUGGGGAGUACGCCGGCAACGGUGAAACUCAAAGGAAUUGACGGGGGCCCGCACAAGCGGAGGAACAUGUGGUUUAAUUCGAUGAUACGCGAGGAACCUUACCCGGGCUUGAAAGUUAGUGACGGCGGAUGAAAGUCUGCUUCCCUUCGGGGCACGAAACUAGGUGCUGCAUGGUUGUCGUCAGCUCGUGCCGUGAGGUGUCGGCUUAAGUGCCAUAACGAGCGCAACCCUUGCCGUUAGUUGCCAGCGGGUGAUGCCGGGAACUCUAGCGGGACUGCUACUGUAAGGUAGAGGAAGGUGGGGAUGACGUCAAAUCAGCACGGCCCUUACGUCCGGGGCGACACACGUGUUACAAUGGUGAGUACAGAGGGUUGCUACUUGGUGACAAGAUGCUAAUCUCCUAAAACUCAUCUCAGUUCGGAUCGGAGUCUGCAACUCGACUCCGUGAAGCUGGAUUCGCUAGUAAUCGCGCAUCAGCCAUGGCGCGGUGAAUACGUUCCCGGGCCUUGUACACACCGCCCGU